GACGAACCGUGCGAACGUUAUUCGGAAUCACUGGGCUUAAAGCGCGCGCAGGCGGGGCGGCACGUCGGUCGCUGAAAUCCCCCGGCUCAACCGGGGAACGGGCGCCGAAACGACCGCCCUGGAGGGGCGUAGGGGGAUCGGGAACUUCCGGUGGAGCGGUGAAAUGCGUUGAGAUCGGAAGGAACGCCCGCGGCGAAAGCGCGGUCCUGGACGCCUACUGACGCUGAGGCGCGAAAGCGUGGGGAGCGAACAGG
RNAcentral lists this ribosomal RNA (254 nucleotides) under uncultured bacterium. Its description in RNAcentral is "partial 16S ribosomal RNA". It matches the Rfam family "Bacterial small subunit ribosomal RNA", at positions 524 to 776 of the family's 1533-position model. The record is from RNAcentral.